RNAcentral lists this long non-coding RNA (239 nucleotides) under Brassica napus (rape). RNAcentral's name for it is "long non-coding RNA (BNAP_LNC012483)". Lineage: Eukaryota; Viridiplantae; Streptophyta; Magnoliopsida; Brassicales; Brassicaceae. The record is from RNAcentral.
UGUGGUCGAGUGGUAAGGAGACGGAGCUGAGACACCAACAUGUUUCAGGUUCAAACCACCUGCUGCACGAAACUAAGUCACAAUUAUCCUGGUCACCCAACACGGAUAUGGGCCCAUGCUUUAGGGCCCAUUUGAAUACUCGGAGAGAGGGUCUAUCCGUGGGCUGCACCUCCCCUUGGGGAUUAGUCUGGGCCUCUCCAUGGGCCUGGGAUACCCCCAGGUUAAUCAAAAAAAAAAAA